RNAcentral lists this ribosomal RNA (464 nucleotides) under uncultured bacterium. RNAcentral describes it as "partial 16S ribosomal RNA". It matches the Rfam family "Bacterial small subunit ribosomal RNA", at positions 339 to 795 of the family's 1533-position model. The record is from RNAcentral.
CUACGGGGUGCACCAGUGGGGAAUAUUGCACAAUGGGCGCAAGCCUGAUGCAGCCAUGCCGCGUGUAUGAAGAAGGCCUUCGGGUUGUAAAGUACUUUCAGCGGGGAGGAAGGGAGUAAAGUUAAUACCUUUGCUCAUUGACGUUACCCGCAGAAGAAGCACCGGCUAACUCCGUGCCAGCAGCCGCGGUAAUACGGAGGGUGCAAGCGUUAAUCGGAAUUACUGGGCGUAAAGCGCACGCAGGCGGUGUGUUAAGUCAGGUGUGAAAUCCCCGGGCUCAACCUGGGAACUGCAUCUGAUACUGGCAAGCUUGAGUCUCGUAGAGGGGGGUAGAAUUCCAGGUGUAGCGGUGAAAUGCGUAGAGAUCUGGAGGAAUACCGGUGGCGAAGGCGGCCCCCUGGACGAAGACUGACGCUCAGGUGCGAAAGCGUGGGGAGCAAACAGGAUUAGAUACCCCCGUAGUC